AUUGAACGCUGGCGGCAGGCCUAACACAUGCAAGUCGAGCGGAUGAAGGGAGCUUGUUCCUGGAUUCAGCGGCGGACGGGUGAGUAAUGCCUAUGAAUCUGCCUGGUAGUGGGUGAUAACGUCUGGAAACGGGCGCUAAUACUGCAUACGUCCUGAGGGAGAAAGUGGGGGAUCCUUGGACCGUACGCUAUCAGAUGAGCCGAGGCCGGAUUAGCUAGCUGGUGGGGUAAGAGCUGACCAAGGAGACGAUCCGUAACUGGUCUGAGAGGAUGAUCAGUCACACAGGAACUGAGACACGGUCCAGACUCCUACGGGAGGCAGCAGUGGGGAAGAUUGGACGAUGGGCGAAAGCUUGAUCCAGCCAUGCCGCGUGUGUGAAGAAGGUCUUCGGAUUGGAAAGCGCUUUAAGUUGGGAGGAAGGGCAGUAAGUUAAUACCUGGCUGUUUUGACGUUACCAACAGAAUAAGCACCGGCUAACUUCGU
RNAcentral lists this ribosomal RNA (483 nucleotides) under uncultured bacterium. RNAcentral's name for it is "partial 16S ribosomal RNA". It matches the Rfam family "Bacterial small subunit ribosomal RNA", at positions 30 to 506 of the family's 1533-position model. The record is from RNAcentral.